UCCUUCUAUGGUGGGAGUGAGGUAUCUUCCAGGAGGACAUCCCUGUGCUCCAAAGGCAACUUGGGCAACCAGGGAAAUGGGAGAAACUUCACUGAACCUCYACAUUCUAAAAAGGUACCAAGUUUCAUUAUCCUGGAUGAAACCACUAACUGCUCAAGCACCAUAUGAAGGAUCCAGGACUACUCCUGAAGAAGUAUAAGAGUAAACUUACAUACUUUCAAAAGAUGGUGCUUAGACAUCCAUCUAUCUUUAGGAAAGAAUCUUGGACUGAGAUUUCUCAAGCAGGAGGAGGCUUCUCUCUGUUUAGUCAUCUAAUACCCCAAUAGAGUUUAAGAUUAAAGACCUACCCUUGCUCAUGAUGUUUGCUAGUGGCUGUUUA
Long non-coding RNA from Nothoprocta perdicaria, 379 nucleotides. RefSeq lists it as uncharacterized. The record is from RefSeq and is a predicted model, not a curated record. NCBI's taxonomy places the organism in Eukaryota, Metazoa, Chordata, Aves, Tinamiformes, Tinamidae. The transcript is spliced from 2 exons.